This 735-nucleotide ribosomal RNA is filed under the name uncultured eukaryote. RNAcentral's name for it is "SSU rRNA". It matches the Rfam family "Eukaryotic small subunit ribosomal RNA", at positions 671 to 1426 of the family's 1831-position model. The record is from RNAcentral.
GGUGUUUACUGUCGAACUGAACACUCUACCGUUUACUGUCUGGUGGUGCUCUUCACCGAGUGUCACCAGUGGUCGGUACGUUUACUUUGAAAAAAUUAGAGUGCUCAAAGCGGUUUUUACACGACCGAAUACUGUUGCAUGGAAUAAUGAAAUAGGACUUUGGUUCUAUUUUGUUGGUCUUCGGAACCAAGGUAAUGAUUAAGAGGGACAGACGGGGGCAUUAGUAUUGCGACGCUAGAGGUGAAAUUCUUGGACCGUCGCAAGACUAACUAAAGCGAAAGCAUUUGCCAAGAAUGUUUUCAUUAAUCAAGAACGAAAGUUAGAGGUUCGAAGGCGAUCAGAUACCGCCCUAGUUCUAACCAUAAACGAUGCCAACCAGCAAUCAGCCUGUGUUCUCUUGAUGACACGGCUGGCGGCUUCCGGGAAACCAAAGUCUUUCGGUUCCAGGGGAAGUAUGGUUGCAAAGCUGAAACUUAAAGGAAUUGACGGAAGGGCACCACCAGGAGUGGAGCCUGCGGCUUAAUUUGACUCAACACGGGGAAACUCACCCGGCCCGGACACUGUGGGGAUUGACAGGUUGAAGCCCUUUCUUGAUUCAGUGGGUGGUGGUGCAUGGCCGUUCUUAGUUGGUGGAGUGAUUUGUCUGGUUAAUUCCGAUAACGAACGAGACUCUAGCCUACUAAUUAGACCGUGGCGUCCUCGUGCCGCCACGGCGCUUCCUAGAGGGACAGACGG